GACGAACGCUGGCGGCGUGCUUAACACAUGCAAGUCGAACGGAAAGGCCUGUCCUUCCUUGUGUUGGACGGGUACUCGAGUGGCGAACGGGUGAGUAACACGUGAGUGAUCUGUCCCCAACUUGGGUAUAAGCCUGGGAAACUGGGUCUAAUUCCCGAUAGGACUGCAGGGUGGUGCCUGUGGUGGAAAACGAUUUUCUAGUGGUUGGGGAUGAGCUCGCGGCCUAUCAGCUUGUUGGUGGGGUAAUGGCCUACCAAGGCGGCGACGGGUAGCCGGCCUGAGAGGGUGGACGGCCACAUUGGGACUGAGAUACGGCCCAGACUCCUACGGGAGGCAGCAGUGGGGAAUAUUGCACAAUGGGCGGAAGCCUGAUGCAGCGACGCCGCGUGGGGGAUGACGGCCUUCGGGUUGUAAACUCCUUUCGACCGCGAGGAAGCCGCCUGGUUGGAAGGGUGGUGACGGUAGUGGUAGAAGAAGCACCGGCUAACUACGUG
This 494-nucleotide ribosomal RNA is filed under the name uncultured bacterium. Its description in RNAcentral is "partial 16S ribosomal RNA". It matches the Rfam family "Bacterial small subunit ribosomal RNA", at positions 28 to 507 of the family's 1533-position model. The record is from RNAcentral.